UCGAGGAUCUUCCGCAAUGGACGCAAGUCUGACGGAGCGACGCCGCGUGGAGGACGAAGGCCUUCGGGUUGUAAACUCCUGUCUAGGGUUAUGAAAGUACAAGCGCGAACAGUGCUUGGGAUGACGUAAGCCCUGGAGGAAGCACCGGCUAACUCUGUGCCAGCAGCCGCGGUAAUACAGAGGGUGCAAACGUUGUUCGGAAUCACUGGGCAUAAAGCGCAUGUAGGCGGCUACGUGAGUGUCGGAUGAAAUCCCACGGCCUACCCGUGGAACGGUUCGGCAUACUGCGUAGCUAGAGGAUGGUAGAGGAGAGCGGAACUCUUGGUGGAGCGGUGAAAUGCGUAGAUAUCAAGAGGAACACCGGUGGCGAAGGCGGCUCUCUGGUCCAUUACUGACGCUGAGGUGCGAAAGCCAGGGGAGCAAACGGGAUUAGAUACCCCCGUAGUCC
RNAcentral lists this ribosomal RNA (448 nucleotides) under uncultured bacterium. RNAcentral describes it as "bacterial SSU rRNA". It matches the Rfam family "Bacterial small subunit ribosomal RNA", at positions 355 to 796 of the family's 1533-position model. The record is from RNAcentral.